ACACAAACCAUACAAUACAAUACAAAAUCUCGUCUCUUAAGUCUUACCUAUGGCCGUUGUCAUCGGCGGUACAUAAUCACCGGAAAGUUCCAAAUCUCCGGUUGAAGAUCUUAAGGUCACUCCUGAGGUAUGUGUACAUAUUACGGGGUUCUUCUCCUGAUUUGAGACGAUAGGAUUAGGGAAUUAAGGCUGAUCAUCAGUAUGUUUAUAAAACUGAGUUUCAUUUACUUCAUUGUAUGUUGUUGCCGAGAAGAAUGAUGUUCAGAAAAGAAAAUUAAAGCUUAAAUUUCGGAUGUCUAACCCAUUCAAAGAAGUUAAAUUCAAUUGCUUGUGCAUAUAAUGAAGAAUUCAUAUAAUUGCUACCUCCUUAGUAUAAUGCAAUUCGAUAAGAGUUUUCAAAUUUACUAAGAUUUGCAUAAAUGUUUUUUCUGGUAUAAUUUUAUGAGAAACUGUGACUUUUUGUUUAUACCUUUUCUGAUACUGUUUCAUAACCUUUCUAAAAAGUACUCAUAAAUUAAAUUAAAAGUAACUUGUGAUGUUUUUUCUUAGAAGUGAAAGCAACAAUUUUCUUAGAAGUGAAAGCAACAAUAUAAAAGCAUGUUUCACAAAUAAACUUUUUUUCGCAACCUUGAAUGCAAUUGAAAAAUGUAAAUUAUAAUGUGAUAUUGUUAUGAAAGAAAUGAAUUGAAGAUUGGCUUUGACAUAUCUAUCUGAAGCAGAUCACAUUGUAGUCACUAGGCUUAUUAUAGAUAAGGUCACAUUUAUUGAAGUUAUAGUGUUGUACCAAUGUUGUCAUAAUAGAUAUCUGAAGCAGAUCCUCAGCGCUGCGCCCCUUUUUUAGGAUAUGUAGAUCUUGAACAUGCUAUUACUUUGUCCGAACUGCAUUCAGUUUGUACAUUACAUACGGUGUGCUUUUCAUCCUUUAUGGCAAGAGUAGUUAAGUUAGCAGGGGAUAAAAGGGUUGUAUUGAUGAUUUCUUAUCCUCAGGAUCUAUUUGUUAAAAUCUUUGCAAUUCUUUAAUCGUUAAGCUAUUUGUUUUCACUUUUCACCCUCUUCUUCUCAAUGAAAUUCUACUUUUAUUUUAAAAGUAAAGCAACAUAAGGUGGUCUUAAUAUAGUCUGAUUAGGAAAAUAAUUGUCGUGUAAUCAAUUAGCAAUAUAAAGUACUGUUGGGAUAAAUCAACUUUUGGUUCCUGUACUGGGAUCCGACUUACAAGUUGAUAUCCCAAUUGAAAAAAGUAACAAAUUGGUGCUUGUACUAGAAAAAAUUUAUAAGUCGGUGAUUGUACUUGAAUAUUUAUGUAAAAUCGUUAAAUUUGACUAACGGACAUAACGGAAAAUUCUUAGUAGGCUAACAGAAUGACAUAACGGACAUAAUGACAUUUGUAUCUGGGACCUAUCAGAGAUCGAAAAUGGAGGGUAAUCUUCCUCUCAGUUACUACACGUGACUCACGUGAGGAUGAAGGAGACAACAACUAUUUCCCUUAUUCAAGUACAAUCACCAACUUCUAAAUUUUUUCUAGUACAAGCACCAAUUUGUUGCUUUUUCCAGUUAGAGUACCAACUUGUGAGUCGGGUCCCAGUACAGGCACCAAAAGUUGAUUUAUCCCAAGUACAGUUAUUAUUAUAUAAUAAUUAGGAAGCUAUGGUGAAAUAAAAUCCUUGACAUGCAACUGGGGUUUAAAAUAGAAUGCCUUGAGUACAUCGUCUUCUCUCUAUUCUUGUGGAAAUUACUAGCAGCCUCUGCCUCUGAUGAUGAGGUUUAGAGUUGUUUCUUAAAUUGAAAGGGAAUGCGUGGAACUUGACCUUUACUAGUAGUUCAAAUACUAGCCUGUUGUCUGAUUCCUUUUGUCAUUAUUUUGUUCACCUCUGACAAUUUCUUCACUAGAUUCAUGUAUGGUUAUAGCCUUGUGACUGUGAUUUUCCUCAUCCUUGUUACAUGCAUUUAUCAUUUGCUCGGUAGCUGCUUUUUGCUCUAUAGAUGGGGGCAGGGACUUGUAGUCUUUGCUUUUACCCCAUACAACAAGAUAAAGGCCUGCAAUUAUGACAAUGGCUCCAAUUACCCUGUAAGAAAGUGAUAUUAGCUAGUUUAUUUUUUGUGUACGGCUAUGAUUCGGGAGAGAGUUUGAGAAUCACCUUCCCAGGUACAUUUGUUCGGCCAAGAUGAUGGAGCUCAUGAUAGCUACGAUGAUCAUGCUCAGUGGAUUAAAAGCUGUCACAAAAACAGGUCCCCUGUCUUUCAUUAUUAUUCCUUGGAUGUAAUAUGCAAGUCCUGAACAGAAUAUGCCCUGCAUAAAUACAUUGUAAGAUGAAUGGUUUAUAGGUGGAUAAAUGCCAAAAACACAUCUUUGUCCUACUUUGAGAAUGAAUCCUUGUACGAUAUGGAAUUACAUUCUUCUAUACUGUGUCAUUUCAUUUUCUAAAAAUUAAGUUCUUGGCCCUGUUAGUAGAGAUAUAUAUUGAUCAUAGAUUUUCUGAAAUUUUAUUUGAUCACAAUGACCCUGUAAAAGGCAGAUGGGUUGCUAAGACUUAAUAGAUGGUUAAAUAUUCUUAUCAGCCAUAAUUAUACGAUUAUACCUUUUGAUGCAUAUGGUUCAGCAAGUGGUUUUUUGGAAACAUAUAACGAUGGACUACGCUGGUCAGAUUAGUUUUCUUACACUGUAGAGAGCUGCCAGGAAUUUGGUGUCCCAUUUCAGGGACCAGACGGCAACAUUUCCCCUCUCCAUUACAAGAGCCACUAUGGCUCCCUCAGCUGUGCCCAACAAACAUAUCCAAGCAGUGAGAGAGAGCUCAGCAGGAUAUGUCUUUAGCGUGAUUGCCUAGGAAAAUAACAAAGAUUAUGAAUUUGCAGGGCAAGAUUAGUAAUCCAUUUCACAAGUCCAUAUACUUUCAUACUUGCAGAACCAUGAAACAAGCCCAACUGAAGCAUCCAGCUGUGAUCAUAAGAGAACCCUUGACUGAAUGUUGAAUAUCUAUCGCACUCCUUUCGAGUUCAUGAGUGCUUCUUCCUUUCGUCCAAACCAGAUCUAGAACUGGGCCUUUGACCAGUGUCAUGAGCAUGGCUCCUCCAACGGUAGUAAGAGUGCCAACUACCUUAGCUUGGCUGCGGAUACUCUUGAAUUUAACCUUCUCAAGCCUAAGACAAAAAAAUUAUAGAGUUGUUUAAACACGUCAUAUCAGACAUGUUUCAGGGGAUACCAUAAAUAGAUUUGUGCUCAAUAAUACUUAUAUGUAGGUGUGAGUUUGUGCUUUUUUGGUUGUAAUGCUUCUUAUAGGGUAGCAUCUUUUUAUAUGGUGUCUUUUGGACACAAAGUAGGUAGAAUGCAUGCACAUGAUUCACCUGAAGAUGCAUGCCAUUAAAAAUGUUAUGGCGGGUAAAACGUUACACAUAGCGGCUGCGAAUGUUGCUGUUGUGUUUUUCAUCCCCAUAAUAUACAUAUUCUGGUCAAUAACUGGUCUGCAGAUGAAGAGACAAAUAUGUUGUUACAUGAUCAUUUCAUAAGAUAUGGAAAAAACAAAUUUAGUGAUUAACUUACUCUAGUAGGCCAAGCAGCAUAAAUUUUACGAACAAUGAUUUAGUCAUCUUAGGCCUUACUUUCCUGUUAAAAAAAAAAUUCAGCUGUUGGCUUCUUGAUUAAAAUAAAUGAUGACACACCUCAACAGAAAGAGGGAAAGGGAAGAGAGAGAGAGAGAGAGAGAGAGAGAGAGAGACUUGUCCAGAAUGAUCGCAAAAGGGGCAAUAACGAUAGUGGCAACGGCAUGGCGGUAAACAACAAAUACAUAAUUGCUCAUCCCUUCAUUCAGUGCUGCUUUAGAAAGAAUAUCCAUUCCUGCAAGCCCAAACUGCAAGAAAAUAACAGCAAGGAAGGGCUUUGCCCUGAUAAACAGUUCACUUGUGGUCAUGCUUCGUGGUUCAACUUGCUGAGAACUUCAGGUAUGGCUCGUUAGACUUCUUAAAUGGUAGCUACAUCUAUAUAUAAUGGAUGGAACAUUAUUUUAAAUGCCUUUUAUUUUUUACCUUUCUCAGUCUGCCACGUAGGAAUGAAGGGUUCCGCUAAUAAUAUGCAUGGACAUACUAAUUACUGAAGAAUCUUGCACGGUGAACAACAUCCUGAUAACUUGGACUAUUGAUGACUCCACCUCAGACAACACUAAAAAAACAUUAGUAAUUUAUGCAGCCUGAUUGUUUGCUAAAGUGCAAGGAUCACUGUUGUGAUGGAGUUGUUUUUGCAAUGAUCUACAAAAAUUCCUUCAGCAACAUGUCUUGUUGGUUUACCAUGUCUAGUUUUAACUUAUCAAUGGUAUUGGAUGUGGCAUAAUGAUGUUUUUAUAUUUAGCUUUACCUUUAAAUUGGAACUCCUCGUAAGGAUUGAAGUCCACAAUAAAUUGCAUGAAUACAUUUCUUCUAUAGUACCUAACUUAGUCAUGUUUUGCAGGGUGGAUUAUUAUGGUGUAUCGAUUAGCUUACAUCAGAAACUGCUGCCUUUUCUGUUGCAGACAUGAAGAAUGGUCUACAAUUGUGACGUACCAAUAAUCGUAGUAAGUUUUUGGUAAUGAGUUGGUGUAAAUUAAAGACAACGAUGAAAAGGUUUUGUGUAGUGCGAUAAUUAAAUAGUAACAACACUGCUAAGCAGAAAAAUGGGCUCACCCCUGCUUUGGAUUUGUUACUUGAUUCCUACAUAGUAGUCAAGGCACUUAAUCCCACUACUUAGUACUUUGUUAUCUUGUGCUUUAUGCAUUGGCAAUGCACCAAACACUCCCAUCUCCAAAUUGAGAACACUUUUUUUUAGUCAUUUGGAGUCCGACUAUCUGGCUUCUUGUGUGCAUCUGUUAUACAUAAGUUUAUGUGCAUCUAUUAUGCAUGUUUUGUGUGCAUCUGUUAUACACAAGUGUUGUGUGCAUUGUAGUAGGCAAACAUUUGUAAAAUUAAUGCGUAGAGUAGUACUCCCUCCGUUUUAAAAUAUAAGAUCAUUAUUGACUUUUGAAAGUCAACUUAUGACAUUUUCAAACUCAAAAUUGAGAUGAUUCAUUAAAAAUUAAGGGACAAUAUAUCUUAAAAUGAGGAUUAUUUUUUUAGAUAAUUUACAAAUUUUAUCAUUCUACUGAUU
Molecule: long non-coding RNA, 5107 nt
Filed under: Panax ginseng (ginseng)
Lineage: Eukaryota; Viridiplantae; Streptophyta; Magnoliopsida; Apiales; Araliaceae
Description: long non-coding RNA (PGIN_LNC004251)
Source: RNAcentral